RNAcentral lists this long non-coding RNA (1048 nucleotides) under Gallus gallus (chicken). The record is from RNAcentral. Lineage: Eukaryota; Metazoa; Chordata; Aves; Galliformes; Phasianidae.
CUUCAAGGAAGAUGGAAGAUAAUCUGUGGAUUUCUCAAGCCAUGGUCUAUCCAAGUGGGCAGUGAAGUGAGCAUUUGGCUGGGCUGCAUCUUUCCUCAGAGGAGUGGAAUCAAGCACAUCUCUUUGUGGGUACAGGGAUGUGAAACCUCACGCUGAACCAGAGGUUGGACCGCAGCACCCAUGGGGUCCCUCCAGCCUCGCAGCCUGCAAAUAUUCAGGCAGGAUCUGGAGCAAUUUACUGGUUAUAAACUAACAGCAACAAUUCAGUGACAGAGCCUCUGCUACAAACCAGCAUCUUUGGCAUCUCUUUUGUUUCCUGAGUUCCUACAAAACGUGAAAGAUCAAGUGAUAUGCUCAUGACAUUCCUUGAAGGAAGGAACCAUAUGCCGUUCUCAUGCAGCAAACCAAAGCUCGCAGCUUAUGGUAAUGUAGCUCCCAGAAAGAAAAGAGAGAAGAAAAGAAAUUAAAAAAAAAAAAAAAAGGUGUGUACAGAAUUGGAAGAAAAAUCUUUCCAUGCCCAGGAAGCCAUUACAGCUCUGGAAGCAGGGAUUGCUCAGAAGAAAAACUGCCUCUUUUCUCUCCUAAGUAGAGAAUAUAUCGGACGUGUAAAAUUUUAGCACGCACUUUCUGAUUCAUUGCUGUGCAGUUAUGUACUGUACGUCGCAUCAACACAACAUAUUAAUGCAAGGGUUUUGCAGCUCUUUAGAAGUGUGGAUUAAAUCUCCAAAACUGUUAACGUGUUGUGUUUGCUGUAUAUUUAUAGAUGGUGCGUCCGCUGGUACCUUGAUUUCCUUCACUUUGUGCCUUAACUUAAAAACAGCCCUUACACUGCCCCCCACCUCAAAAAAUAAAAUAGAACAAAACAAACAGAAGUUUAAAAUUGACCCCUUCCCUGUCCCACAGAAAAGAAUUAAACACGACUUUUUUUCUCAGGGAAACAGAAGGGAUAGGUGGGGAGAAAGCAGAGAUGGAAGUCACAACUGUUUGCAGGAAUCUCAGCUCUGUAUUUUUAGAUGUCUCUGGCUGUCACAACUGUGAAGAAAUCCCA